Molecule: microRNA precursor, 213 nt
Filed under: Olea europaea subsp. europaea
Lineage: Eukaryota; Viridiplantae; Streptophyta; Magnoliopsida; Lamiales; Oleaceae
Source: RNAcentral
GAUUUGCUGUCCCUAUCUCUCUGUCCUCAUGGCUGACCCACCAAUCAAAUUUUGACACAUCAUUAAAAUUUCAAGUGUCAAAAAUUUAGUGGGACAUGGUUUUCUUUUAUGACACUGGUAUAUGUCCCACUAAAAUUUUGGCACUUAAAAAAAUCAUAAUGAAGUGUCAAAAUUUGAUGGGUGGGGCAGCCAUGGAGAUGGAGAAAACAGGUU